RNAcentral lists this non-coding RNA (45 nucleotides) under Echinostoma caproni. Lineage: Eukaryota; Metazoa; Platyhelminthes; Trematoda; Plagiorchiida; Echinostomatidae. The record is from RNAcentral.
ACACUGCUGACGAGUCCCGAACAGGACGAAACAGCUGUCCUGUAC